This 306-nucleotide long non-coding RNA is filed under the name Oryza sativa Indica Group (long-grained rice). Its description in RNAcentral is "lncRNA OsLima_12g0013680". Lineage: Eukaryota; Viridiplantae; Streptophyta; Magnoliopsida; Poales; Poaceae. The record is from RNAcentral.
CGGUUUUUCUUGCAGCGAGGUGGUUCCAACGGCGAGCGGCAGUUCGGCGGCCUGCAUCCUCGACCGCGAGAAGGAGGUGAGCGGCGGCGCCGCGGCCUCAAUCCCCGUCCGCCUGGCGCCGGAUCCGUCGUCCUCAACUGCCGGGCGUCGUCUCCUCCGUCCGCCGGCUGCGUCCCCAACUGCCGGGUGCAGAUCCGCCCGUACGCCGCUUCCCGGGUGCAGAAGGCGAAGAGGGCGGCGUCGAGCAGCAAUGGGGAUGAGAUUAUUCCUCUUGUGAAGGCAUUGAUCGAGAAAGACAAGGAAUGA